UCUAGAGAUUUGGCGGACGGGUGAGUAACACGUACAUAACUUACCCUCAAGAGGGGGAUAGCCUUGGGAAACUGAGCGUAAUACCCCAUAGUAUUAUUGAACGGCAUCGUUUGAUAAUUAAAGCUACGGCGCUUGAGGAUAGAUGUGCGUCUGAUUAGCUAGUUGGUAAGGUAACGGCUUACCAAGGCGACGAUCAGUAGGGGGCGUGAGAGCGUGGCCCCCCACACGGGUACUGAGACACGGACCCGACUCCUACGGGAGGCAGCAGUAAGGAAUAUUGGUCAAUGCCCGGAAGGGUGAACCAGCCAUGCCGCGUGAAGGAUGACUGCCCUCUGGGUUGUAAACUUCUUUUGGAUGGGACGAAAAAACGGGAUUUAUCCUGGACUGACGGUACCAUCAGAAUAAGCACCGGCUAACUCCGUGCCAGCAGCCGCGGUAAUAAUCGUCGAC
This 450-nucleotide ribosomal RNA is filed under the name uncultured Saprospiraceae bacterium. RNAcentral describes it as "bacterial SSU rRNA". It matches the Rfam family "Bacterial small subunit ribosomal RNA", at positions 86 to 532 of the family's 1533-position model. The record is from RNAcentral. Lineage: Bacteria; Pseudomonadati; Bacteroidota; Saprospiria; Saprospirales; Saprospiraceae.